ACCUUAGGCAGUAGUUCUUCCAUAUCUACUGUCCCUAGGGUCACUUCUCCAUGGAGUGCAGGGGGGGUCUCUGCACUGCAGUCCUUCAUAGGGUGAGCUGUACUGAUGUGGAUCCCCCACAGGGCCGUGAGUCCUACCCAGGAAUAACGUGCUCUGGCAUGGAUUUUCCUCUCCACGGGCCACAAGUCUCUUAAAGGGCUCCACUCCAUCCUGGGCCUUCCAUGGGGGAAACGGCCUUCUUUCAUGCAUCCAUCUGCUCCAACUGGGGCUCGGCUGCACUGCAGCAGGUCACCCUGGCCCCGGCCCAGCUUGACUCGGCCAGGGGGGUGAUGCCAGAGCUGUGAAUAUUGCAGGGAAGUGGAGGGCUGCCCCAACACAAUGUCCUGCCUCUUCUAUGGGAAACCUGAACAGCAAAAAAGAAGUGCAUUGUUCAAGAGACAAAUGUAUGUUCUGUGCCAAUGCAGACAGGAGUCUUUCUGCUGUAGAUGGGAGACGGAGGAACAGGAAGCCCAAGAUUUGUCUAAGUAGUAUGGACCAUCUGUACCUAAACAGGAAAUGAACUGGGUCACCAGAGCUCCAGAAAAAGGUUGUCAUCAUAGGGUCAUCUAUUUUCACCAUGCUACAAUGCUUCUUGUGAAAUAAAAUGCCUUUUGCUGCUCCCCUGGGAAUCCAAUUCUGUGUACUGAAUAAAUAAAACAGCGAA
This is a long non-coding RNA of Lepidothrix coronata (blue-crowned manakin), 703 nucleotides long. RefSeq lists it as uncharacterized. NCBI's taxonomy places the organism in Eukaryota, Metazoa, Chordata, Aves, Passeriformes, Pipridae. The transcript is spliced from 3 exons. The record is from RefSeq and is a predicted model, not a curated record.